Ameiurus melas (black bullhead) is the source of this 76-nucleotide non-coding RNA. NCBI's taxonomy places the organism in Eukaryota, Metazoa, Chordata, Actinopteri, Siluriformes, Ictaluridae. The record is from the annotation of a GenBank genome assembly.
GGGCGCAUGGUGGAUUAGUGGUUAGCACGUUCACCUCACAGCUCCAGGGACGGGGGUUCGAUUCCCACCGUGGCCC